This 60-nucleotide transfer RNA is filed under the name bovine gut metagenome. It matches the Rfam family "tRNA", at positions 8 to 62 of the family's 71-position model. From Rfam's summary of the family: Transfer RNA (tRNA) molecules are approximately 80 nucleotides in length. Their secondary structure includes four short double-helical elements and three loops (D, anti-codon, and T loops). Further hydrogen bonds mediate the characteristic L-shaped molecular structure. tRNAs have two regions of fundamental functional importance: the anti-codon, which is responsible for specific mRNA codon recognition, and the 3' end, to which the tRNAs corresponding amino acid is attached (by aminoacyl-tRNA synthetases). tRNAs cope with the degeneracy of the genetic code in two manners: having more than one tRNA (with a specific anti-codon) for a particular amino acid; and 'wobble' base-pairing, i.e. permitting non-standard base-pairing at the 3rd anti-codon position. RNAcentral also lists the same sequence under 1 other name. The record is from RNAcentral.
UGUUAGCUCAGUUGGUAGAGCAACUGACUCUUAAUCAGUGGGUCUAGGGUUCGAGUCCCU